GAUGAACGCUGGCGGCGUGCUUAAUACAUGCAAGUCGAACGAAGCACCUUGGACAGAAUCCUUCGGGAGGAAGACCAUUGUGACUGAGUGGCGGACGGGUGAGUAACGCGUGGGUAACCUGCCUUGUACAGGGGGAUAACAGUUGGAAACGACUGCUAAUACCGCAUAAGCGCACAGUACCGCAUGGUACGGUGUGAAAAACUCCGGUGGUACAAGAUGGACCCGCGUCUGAUUAGCUUGUUGGUGAGGUAACGGCCCACCAAGGCGACGAUCAGUAGCCGACUUGAGAGAGUGAUCGGCCACAUUGGGACUGAGACACGGCCCAAAUCCUACGGGAGGCAGCAGUGGGGAAUAUUGCGCAAUGGGGGAAACCCUGACGCAGCAACGCCGCGUGAAGGAUGAAGGUCUUCGGAUUGUAAACUUCUUUUAUUAAGGACGAAGAAAGUGACGGUACUUAAUGAAUAAGCUCCGGCUAACUACGUG
This 483-nucleotide ribosomal RNA is filed under the name uncultured bacterium. Its description in RNAcentral is "bacterial SSU rRNA". It matches the Rfam family "Bacterial small subunit ribosomal RNA", at positions 28 to 507 of the family's 1533-position model. The record is from RNAcentral.